This 112-nucleotide transfer RNA is filed under the name Candidatus Woesearchaeota archaeon. RNAcentral's name for it is "tRNA-Val". The stretch from base 47 to 112 matches the Rfam family "tRNA". From Rfam's summary of the family: Transfer RNA (tRNA) molecules are approximately 80 nucleotides in length. Their secondary structure includes four short double-helical elements and three loops (D, anti-codon, and T loops). Further hydrogen bonds mediate the characteristic L-shaped molecular structure. tRNAs have two regions of fundamental functional importance: the anti-codon, which is responsible for specific mRNA codon recognition, and the 3' end, to which the tRNAs corresponding amino acid is attached (by aminoacyl-tRNA synthetases). tRNAs cope with the degeneracy of the genetic code in two manners: having more than one tRNA (with a specific anti-codon) for a particular amino acid; and 'wobble' base-pairing, i.e. permitting non-standard base-pairing at the 3rd anti-codon position. Lineage: Archaea; Nanobdellati; Candidatus Woesearchaeota. The record is from RNAcentral.
GGGCCCGUGGUCUAGUGGCUACGUGUUCACUGCCGGUUUCGGCACGGGGCGCGCCGCGCAUGACGUCUCCUUUACACGGAGAGGGUCACCGGUUCGAGUCCGGUCGGGCCCA